AUAUGCACAAGCUGUGCUGGGGCUGUCCCGAACGUCGCAGCGGGGAUACAGAGACUAGGAGACUUGUUUGAAAAUGCCGGGGCCGCCCGCUCCUGCUUGUCCGCCCGCCCGCCCGCCCGCCCGCCCGGCGUCCCGUGGGGCUCACUUGAAAAUUGUUAUAAAGGAGAAAAAUGUCUAAAAGCAAUUACAGGGACGCACAACUUCUUUCUGCAUGUUUUACUUGGUAGUCAUGGUGAUGGGUACGUCACACGGCGCCGUCAAGCAAUGACGACGUCACUGCCUGCGCGGCUCGGCGGGUGUGUGGUCCCGGGACGAGCUGGCGGGAAUGCACAAUGGUGAUACUAUAAAGGUAUGUACUUAUUCUUAUUUGUUAUUAAAGCCU
Long non-coding RNA from Pseudophryne corroboree (corroboree frog), 382 nucleotides. RefSeq lists it as uncharacterized. The transcript is spliced from 3 exons. The record is from RefSeq and is a predicted model, not a curated record. NCBI's taxonomy places the organism in Eukaryota, Metazoa, Chordata, Amphibia, Anura, Myobatrachidae.